GUCCACGCCCUAAACGAUGAUGACUAGUUGUUGGAGGAGUUAAAUCCUUUAGUAACGCAGCUAACGCGAGAAGUCAUCCGCCUGGGGAGUACGGUCGCAAGAUUAAAACUCAAAGGAAUUGACGGGGCCCGCACAAGCGGUGGAUGAUGUGGUUUAAUUCGAUGCAACGCGAAAAACCUUACCUACCCUUGACAUGUACGGAAUCCUGCAGAGAUGCAGGAGUGCCCGAAAGGGAGCCGUAACACAGGUGCUGCAUGGCUGUCGU
RNAcentral lists this ribosomal RNA (265 nucleotides) under uncultured bacterium. RNAcentral describes it as "partial 16S ribosomal RNA". It matches the Rfam family "Bacterial small subunit ribosomal RNA", at positions 793 to 1055 of the family's 1533-position model. The record is from RNAcentral.